AGCUAAAUUCCUCCACCCUUAAUUGCGUUUAGUAGUCAAGUGGAUUAACUUCACUCACACGCAAUUUUUAUAAACCCUAAGUUCAUUCAUAAACCCUAAGUUCAUCCAUAAAUCCUAAGUUCAUUCAAAAACCCUAAGUUCAUCUAGAAACCCUAAGUUCAUCCAAAAACCCUAAGUUCAUCCAUAAACCCUAAGUUCAUCCAUAAACCCUAAGUUCAUCCAUAAACCCUAAGUUCAUCCAUAAACCCUAAGUUCAUCCAUAAACCCUAAGUUCAUUCAUCCUAAAUUUCCCUUCAUCAAUCAUCCAUCCCUUAAAUCUCAUUCAUCCUAUAACAUCCAUUCAAAGUUUGUUCAUCUAAUUUUCAUCUAAAGAUUCAUUCAUCCAAAUAUUAUUCAACUUAUCAUCCAACUGACAAUUCGUGCAAUUGACCUAAUUCAUCCAAGAUUCAUCCUAAAAAUUAAAGAAAAUUGGAAGUCGCCACCUUCCAAGUCAUGGUAGCAACCCCCUUGCACGAAUUUCACUACAAUGGUUGCAUCACUAACUUGUUUAUAACAAGCUUUGCUAUUUUAGAAAGUAGACUUACAAGCGCUUGUCCUCCAACAAAAUUCAAUGCAAAACAACAAUUAAGCUAAGAGAAAUCUUGCCUCAAAGUUGCCUGACUUUCUCGGCCUAGUCAGAGCAUCCCUGGCCACAAAAACCCUUGCCCUUGCUCCAUUCCAGUUGUGCAAUGCAUAUGCUUUAGCAUUCCAGAAACUAGAAUUGAAGCCGCAUCACCUCCAACAAUUUUUUCUUGAAAAUCUUGAGUGAAUUCCAAGAUAUAACCUUCCAAAAAAGCUUGAGUUGGCGGAGUGCUACAUCUUCACCACGGCCGACUCCUCUUCACUCCAACCACCAUAACUUCCUUGGUCUUUACUCAAUCUAAGCGUGCAAAUAGUCCUUGCAAAGCUGACAACAAGAACCAUCCC
This 966-nucleotide long non-coding RNA is filed under the name Physcomitrium patens. Its description in RNAcentral is "long non-coding RNA (PPAT_LNC008096)". The record is from RNAcentral. Lineage: Eukaryota; Viridiplantae; Streptophyta; Bryopsida; Funariales; Funariaceae.